UAAUUGUAUAUAGGUGGAGAAGCCAAGUAGAAGAUGAACAAGCAAGGAAAACGUGGUGAAGGGUUUGGCCACUAUAUUUUUUGCUCACUACUUAGGAAGUUUGUUAGGCAUUAAAGAUUGUCUUUAAACUUUCUUAUUUUGAUAAGAACUUAUUAUGUGGCUUCAUGUGAUGAAAGACCACUAUAUAGUGCCUAAAUGUAUAAAGGUAUUUAUAUUAGUCUCUAAAUGUAUAGAGCUAAUACUUUUUGUAUUAAACAUUAUGAAUGUUUGAACUAUCAUAUUAAUGUAAUGUGAAGUAUGCCUUUUUAAUAUACUAUUUCCUUAAAGUAGUGUUAUGAAUUGAAAAUUGUCUUGUUGUAUCCUAGAUGAGAUACAAGAGUUAUAUCACUUAAUUGUAAUGUGAUAAACCAAACUUUAGAUUUAUCAAUCAUGGAUAGAUCUCACAUGUAGGACAUAAAAGGAUACAAUGAAUCUUUAGAUUUGGUUCCAUUUGUCUACUUAUGAGUUCUAUAUGAAUUGACAAAAGUCUAGAGAAUCCUUUCUUGAAGAAAAGGAAGAUCACAUUAUAAUGAUAUAAGUAAUAAGAAAACGUUUCUUAUAUGGUUAUCACUUGAAACACAAUGAUCAAGAUCACUCUUGAUUCAAUUAGUAGUUUUGAACAAUUAAUUGGGCAUUCUUAAAAUUGUUUUAAAAAUGUCAAAUGUGUUAGUGAUUAAACCAAGAAAGAAGUGUCUAAAUCUAUAAAAGGUUUAAAGACUUUAGUCGCUUAAUAACAAGACAUUAACUUAGUGAAGAAUGAAACAAGUGAGCUUGAAAGGUUUUUAAAGCUACUACACAAUGUCUUCUACCAAUAUAAUCCACUUUUAUACAUUUUGAAUGUAUGAAAUAAUUUCUCAUUAAAGUCAUGAGAAAUAGUGGGAGGUGUGAAAAUGGAUAUAAACUUAAAUGUGAUUGGUUUACAGUUGUCUAAAGAAUAAUAGUACUUGACUAUUAUUAAGAGUUUGUAAUUUUAAUUGUUAAAAGGACUCAAGCUCUUUAAACGUUAAAAUUCUAUGUUGUGUAACAUUUAAAGAAUAGUCUUUGAAUGUUGGUUUCGUCAACCUAGCAUAAAAUGGUUAUAUGUUGGGAGUUGUCCAUCAUUCUCUUUUAUGAGAACAUGCUAAUAACAAAGCAUAUGGACAAGUUGAUGAAACAAAAGGGAAUAAGUUUCAAAAUGAGUCACAAUAUAUGAUUUAACAACAAGACAAUCCAAAUUCAACAUCUCAUGUAACUAUAUUGCUCUAUGUAAUUUUGAUAAAGAAUUAUAUCAACCACCUAGAAGGAAUGGUUGAGUUUCUAUAUCCUUAGUAGGAGCCAUGCUUCCACUAAAGACUUAGAUAAUUCUUAUAUGACUACAUUAGAGGUCUUAGUAUGACUAAAACUUGAAAUAUGGUGUAUGACAC
This 1442-nucleotide long non-coding RNA is filed under the name Malus domestica (apple). RNAcentral describes it as "long non-coding RNA (MDOM_LNC020194)". Lineage: Eukaryota; Viridiplantae; Streptophyta; Magnoliopsida; Rosales; Rosaceae. The record is from RNAcentral.